Molecule: long non-coding RNA, 1643 nt
Organism: Corticium candelabrum
Lineage: Eukaryota; Metazoa; Porifera; Homoscleromorpha; Homosclerophorida; Plakinidae
Exons: 4
Source: RefSeq, a predicted model, not a curated record
GACGCUUCCAUUCGGAUCCAACGUGUGCACAUUAACUUCCUCCGUCGACGUUCACGAGCAUGCAGCUUGAAUGUUUGUGUAGGUCUGGACAUCUAGACAAGUGACCGACCGUCUUGUGACCUCGGAUCUCAUGAUCGAGAGUUUGAUUGCGAGUCGGAUGAGCCAGAGGUGCGACAAGUGCUAUUCUACUCACCUCUCGUUAUCUGUCGCACUUCCGUUCCCAUUCUGCAUCACCAUGUGCUGCCACGUGCACGCUGAGUCGCUUGUCUGCUUGCUAGACGCGUUCUGAUGUGGCGACUCUCAACUGUUGUAUGUCUUUGCAAUCGAUGAUGAGUCUGUUGAUUGUAUAUUGUGUAGAGACUCCAGCUAGUGAUCGGUUGGCAAACUCAUGAUCACCGACUUGCAUUUCCGCAUGAAGAAAAGCGGAACAGACGGCAACAGGGCCGUGGAGUUGUUCUCUUGUUGCCGAACGCCUUCAACGUUGCAUGUGAUCGGAAGGCAAUUAGUUACCAUGCACAUACGUGGAGCAGAUCGAUACUCGCAGUUUGUGCGACAAUGGAAGUGUUUGUUGGACCUCAAGAAAGUUUGUUACUUUUCCGAAGUUUUGCCACCAUAGACAUGGGUUUUCAAUGCGUGGUUGUAAUUCGGAUCGAAUUAAUGCGCAAUCGAUCUACAUGCAGCACAAGUCGACAAGACAUGGAAGAGCAUUGCUAAAACAAUCGGUCUCAUCCGUCCUGCAGCUUGAUUCCCAGAAAGGAAGACGGACAAUUGCACAAAGAGUCUAUUGCGAGCUGAUGGGACAACAGGAUUCUUCCUAUAUAUAGUCCUCAUUACACAUGCAUCAAGCUGCAGGUAGAGAUUGUUGUGAGUGUGUCUAAUAUUGGGACGCACAAACAGUGGACACAAACCAUAAACAGACUGUCAGUGUGGGAGAAGCCACAAAGGACUGGGGUCGUCUAAUGCAGUCCCCAUGCUAUCUCCGAUCACGACCUUUGCUCACAUAUUGAGUAAUAAUUUUUUAGUGUGCUGCAUGGCAUGCUCAUGCAUAUAGGUAGAACAACAAAAGAUGUAAUGAUUUAUAUCUACGAUCUGAUCUUACAGGAUACGUAGUGACAUAUUACAGCAAACUAAAUAUUUAUCUAUUGGAGAAUGUUGCAAUUGUUGGGCUUUAUUGCAUCACAUGACAUAUCAGUGUCAUUGACACCAGCAAUGACGUCAUACGACAAACUUCGUAAUAUUUUGUGUGUAAAUAUUUUCAAUGAUGACAAUGUUUGAGAAAGACCAGAUGCACGUAUGUAUACAGCUGCCUGACGAGAAAUAGGUGCAUGUGUAAUAUAUAGCUCCACAUCACUUGCUACAUGAAAUUGGAGCCUAGAUUCUAAGCGUUUUGUAUAUGUCAUUGCAGUUUGUGAAUAGAAACGUGGCCAUGAGUAUCACAAUCGAGCAGUUCGUGCAGUCUGGUGUGCUCUAGAUUUGCAGUCUGGUGUGUUACACUCUACGGUAUCGGGAUGACACAAGAUGCAUACUCGCCAUAUAAAUUGACUUCAGACCAGACCUAAAUACGUCGAUAUUUUUUGGGAAAUAUUUUAGCAAAUAUUUAUCACAAAAAUUUGCAUCUGUCGCUAUGUUUUAUCAAUAGCGCA